This 396-nucleotide ribosomal RNA is filed under the name uncultured bacterium. Its description in RNAcentral is "partial 16S ribosomal RNA". It matches the Rfam family "Bacterial small subunit ribosomal RNA", at positions 523 to 918 of the family's 1533-position model. The record is from RNAcentral.
CUACGUAGGGAGCGAGCGUUGUCCGGAAUUACUGGGUGUAAAGGGUGCGUAGGCGGGACUGCAAGUCAGAUGUGAAAUGCCGGGGCUCAACCCCGGAGCUGCAUUUGAAACUGUGGUUCUUGAGUGAGGUAGAGGUAAGCGGAAUUCCUAGUGUAGCGGUGAAAUGCGUAGAUAUUAGGAGGAACAUCGGUGGCGAAGGCGGCUUACUGGGCCUUUACUGACGCUGAGGCACGAAAGCGUGGGGAGCAAACAGGAUUAGAUACCCUGGUAGUCCACGCUGUAAACGAUGAUGACUAGGUGUGGGGGGACUGAACCCUUCCGUGCCGCAGUUAACACAAUAAGUCAUUCACCUGGGGAGUACGGCCGCAAGGUUGAAACUCAAAUGAAUUGACGGGG